This 58-nucleotide small nucleolar RNA is filed under the name Euglena gracilis. Its description in RNAcentral is "Eg-m35 box C/D methylation-guide snoRNA". Lineage: Eukaryota; Euglenozoa; Euglenophyceae; Euglenales; Euglenaceae. The record is from RNAcentral.
GCUUGAUGAGCUGUCCUUUAGCCCUUGACCUGAGCGCAUGACGAGCCUCAGCCUGAUC